AUUGAACGCUGGCGGCAUGCUUUACACAUGCAAGUCGAACGGUAACAGGCCUUCGGGCGCUGACGAGUGGCGAACGGGUGAGUAAUGCAUCGGAACGUGCCCAGUCGUGGGGGAUAACGCAGCGAAAGCUGUGCUAAUACCGCAUACGAUCGGUGGAUGAAAGCGGGGGACCUUCGGGCCUCGCGCGAGUGGAGCGACCGAUGUCAGAUUAGGUAGUUGGUGGGGGAAAGGCCCACCAAGCCGACGAUCUGUAGCUGGUCUGAGAGGACGACCAGCCACACUGGGACGGAGACACGGCCCAGACUCCUACGGGAGGCAGCAGUGGGGAAUUUUGGACAAUGGGCGCAAGCCUGAUCCAGCAAUGCCGCGUGCAGGAAGAAGGCCUUCGGGUUGUAAACUGCUUUUGUACGGAGCGAAAAGGCUCCCUCUAAUACAGGGGGCUCAUGACGGUACCGUAAGAAUAAGCACCGGCUAACUACGUGCCAGCCGCCGCCGUAA
Molecule: ribosomal RNA, 498 nt
Filed under: uncultured bacterium
Lineage: Bacteria
Description: partial 16S ribosomal RNA
Rfam family: Bacterial small subunit ribosomal RNA
Source: RNAcentral